RNAcentral lists this non-coding RNA (30 nucleotides) under Rattus norvegicus (Norway rat). Lineage: Eukaryota; Metazoa; Chordata; Mammalia; Rodentia; Muridae. The record is from RNAcentral.
UNGGAAGGCAUAUUUUGGCACACAGUAAGC